RNAcentral lists this ribosomal RNA (214 nucleotides) under uncultured bacterium. Its description in RNAcentral is "partial 16S ribosomal RNA". It matches the Rfam family "Bacterial small subunit ribosomal RNA", at positions 524 to 737 of the family's 1533-position model. The record is from RNAcentral.
UACGUAGGGGCAAGCGUUGUCCGGAAUCAUUGGGCGUAAAGCGCGUGUAGGCGGCCAGAAAAGUCCGCUGUGAAAACUCGAGGCUCAACCUCGAGCUGUCGGUGGAAACUUUCUGGCUAGAGUCCGGAAGAGGAGAAUGGGAAUUCCUGGUGUAGCGGUGAAAUGCGCAGAUAUCAGGAAGGAACACCCGUGGCGAAGGCGGUCUCUGGGCCGA